This 443-nucleotide ribosomal RNA is filed under the name uncultured bacterium. RNAcentral describes it as "partial 16S ribosomal RNA". It matches the Rfam family "Bacterial small subunit ribosomal RNA", at positions 338 to 795 of the family's 1533-position model. The record is from RNAcentral.
CCUACGGGGUGCAGCAGUGGGGGAUAUUGGACAAUGGGGGAAACCCUGAUCCAGCGACGCCGCGUGAGUGAAGAAGUAUUUCGGUAUGUAAAGCUCUGUCAGCAGGGAAGAAAGAAAUGACGGUACCUGACCAAGAAGCCCCGGCUAACUACGUGCCAGCAGCCGCGGUAAUACGUAGGGGGCAAGCGUUAUCCGGAAUUACUGGGUGUAAAGGGAGCGUAGACGGUGAUGCAAGUCUGGAGUGAAAGGCGGGGGCCCAACCCCCGGACUGCUCUGGAAACUGUGUAACUUGAGUGCAGGAGAGGUAAGCGGAAUUCCUAGUGUAGGGGUGAAAUGCGUAGAUAUAUGUAAGAACACCAGUGGCGAAGGCGGCUUGCUGGGUCGAUACUGACAUUGAGGCACGAAAGCGUGGGGAGCAAACAGGAUUAGAUACCCCUGUAGUC